CCGAGUUAGGGUCUUCUUAGGCCCGACCUCUCAACCCUAUGUUUAUCAAACCGAUGUUGCUUCGGCGGGCCCGUCUCACGACCGCCGGGGGACUGUAAGAUGUCCUCUGGCCCGCGCCUGCCCGUGGCCAAACUUGACAAACUCUAAUUUAAGCGUGUCACUGUCUGAGUACCAUUUUUAAUUAAAGUA
Molecule: unclassified non-coding RNA, 189 nt
Filed under: uncultured Herpotrichiellaceae
Lineage: Eukaryota; Fungi; Ascomycota; Eurotiomycetes; Chaetothyriales; Herpotrichiellaceae
Description: sequence contains ITS1
Source: RNAcentral